Mus musculus (house mouse) is the source of this 680-nucleotide long non-coding RNA. RefSeq annotates it as predicted gene, 39266. Lineage: Eukaryota; Metazoa; Chordata; Mammalia; Rodentia; Muridae. The record is from RefSeq and is a predicted model, not a curated record. The transcript has 3 exons.
AGCCCGUCUUGCUGGCCCACAGGUUUAGGCAAGCUUCACGCUAUGCUACUGGAGUGUCUGUGGCAGACAGCUUUCCUGAGAGGUACCUUCCUGUGCAGCAUUGGCUGCAGGAAACCCCAGCAACUAUGUUGCAACCUCAUGACCCUGCCAUGAAGCCAGCACUGUCAGAUGCAGGGGGCUGAGGAACACCAGGUCCCAGCAAAGCAUGGUGUGCCAGUGCCUGAGGCAGUCAGAGGAGAGCAUCAGAUUCAUCCGCCCCCGGCCCCGAGUCGGAGUUACAGACGAUUGUGAGCUGCCUGACAUAGCUGCCGGGAAGCCAACUUGGGUCCUCUGUAAGACCAGCCCAUACCCUUAAACUCUCAACCAUUUCUCCAGCCCCCAUCACUGACAUUUUAAUCAUCCUCAAAUCUGCCUCAAAGAAUGUGUAACAAGACAGCUCUUGUUUCCCUGGGAACUUUCAUUCAGAGACCAUAAGCAGAAUUCACUCUCUAUGACCCUGAGAAGACAAGAAGGGACCUGGCAUCCUGAGCCACACAGGCCAGUGGGCACCGUGGGCAGCUGUCUUACACAGUUGUCACUUCCCCCUUGCUAAGUCUCAGUGGGACACCAACUAUGCCCAUCCUACUAGGUUAUAGGGUGUAAUUAUCAUGUCCUAGUUCUAUAUUAAAUCUGAUGCAAUA